GCUAGAGUGGUAUAGUAGUUAAGGCAUUGGACUAUGACUCUGGAGAACAGGGUUCAAAUCCCUCCUCAGCC
Non-coding RNA from Phrynosoma platyrhinos (Desert horned lizard), 71 nucleotides. The record is from the annotation of a GenBank genome assembly. Lineage: Eukaryota; Metazoa; Chordata; Lepidosauria; Squamata; Phrynosomatidae.